RNAcentral lists this ribosomal RNA (484 nucleotides) under uncultured bacterium. Its description in RNAcentral is "partial 16S ribosomal RNA". It matches the Rfam family "Bacterial small subunit ribosomal RNA", at positions 899 to 1397 of the family's 1533-position model. The record is from RNAcentral.
ACUCAAAGGAAUAGACGGGGACCCACACAAGCGGUGGAGCAUGGGGUUUAAUUCGAUGAUAAGCGAAGAACCUCACCCAGGCUUGACAUCUCGGGAACCUCCCGGAAACGGGGGGGUGCCGCAAGGAACCCGAAGACAGGUGCUGCACGGUCGUCGUCAGCUCGUGCCUUGAGGUGUACUGUUAAGUCAGCCAACGAGCGCAACCCUCAUCCUAUGUUGUUUUUUCAUGGGAGACUGCCGCCUCCAAGGCGGAGGAAGGUGGGGAUGACGUCAGAUCAGCGUGGCCCUUAUGCCUGGGGCUACACCCAUGCUACAAUGGCCGGUACAGCGGGCAGCGAAGCCGCAAGGCGGAGCCAAUCCCCCAAACCCGGUCUCAGUUCGGAUUGAAGUCUGCAACUCGACUUCAUGAAGUUGGAAUCGCUAGUAACCGUGGAUCAGCCACGCCACGGUGAAUAAGUUCCUGGGUCUUGUACACACCGCCCGU